GACGAACGCUGGCGGCGUGCCUAAUACAUGCAAGUAGAACGCUGAAGAGAGGAGCUUGCUCUUCUUGGAUGAGUUGCGAACGGGUGAGUAACGCGUAGGUAACAUGCCUUGUAGCGGGGGAUAACUAUUGGAAACGAUAGCUAAUACCGCAUAACAAUGGAUGACACAUGUCAUUUAUUUGAAAGGGGCAAUUGCUCCACUACAAGAUGGACCUGCGUUGUAUUAGCUAGUAGGUGAGGUAAUGGCUCACCUAGGCGACGAUACAUAGCCGACCUGAGAGGGUGAUCGGCCACACUGGGACUGAGACACGGCCCAGACUCCUACGGGAGGCAGCAGUAGGGAAUCUUCGGCGAUGGGGGCAACCCUGACCGAGCAACGCCGCGUGAGUGAAGAAGGUUUUCGGAUCGUAAAGCUCGGUUGUAAGUCAAGAACGGGUGUGAGAGUGGAAAGUUCACACUGUGACGGUAGCUUACCAGAAAGGGACGGCUAACUACGUG
RNAcentral lists this ribosomal RNA (497 nucleotides) under uncultured bacterium. Its description in RNAcentral is "partial 16S ribosomal RNA". It matches the Rfam family "Bacterial small subunit ribosomal RNA", at positions 28 to 507 of the family's 1533-position model. The record is from RNAcentral.